This 450-nucleotide ribosomal RNA is filed under the name uncultured bacterium. Its description in RNAcentral is "partial 16S ribosomal RNA". It matches the Rfam family "Bacterial small subunit ribosomal RNA", at positions 354 to 796 of the family's 1533-position model. The record is from RNAcentral.
GUGGGGAAUUUUGGACAAUGGGCGCAAGCCUGAUCCAGCAAUGCCGCGUGCAGGAAGAAGGCCUUCGGGUUGUAAACUGCUUUUGUACGGAACGAAACGGUCCGGGUUAAUACCCUGGGCUAAUGACGGUACCGUAAGAAUAAGCACCGGCUAACUACGUGCCAGCAGCCGCGGUAAUACGUAGGGUGCGAGCGUUAAUCGGAAUUACUGGGCGUAAAGCGUGCGCAGGCGGUGCUGUAAGACAGGCGUGAAAUCCCCGGGCUCAACCUGGGAAUUGCGCUUGUGACUGCAGUGCUGGAGUACGGCAGAGGGGGAUGGAAUUCCGCGUGUAGCAGUGAAAUGCGUAGAUAUGCGGAGGAACACCGAUGGCGAAGGCAGUCCCCUGGGCCUGUACUGACGCUCAUGCACGAAAGCGUGGGGAGCAAACAGGAUUAGAAACCCGAGUAGUCC